Molecule: ribosomal RNA, 434 nt
Filed under: uncultured bacterium
Lineage: Bacteria
Description: partial 16S ribosomal RNA
Rfam family: Bacterial small subunit ribosomal RNA
Source: RNAcentral
AGCGAACGCUGGCGGCAGACCUAACACAUGCAAGUCGAACGAACCUUUCGGGGUUAUUGGCGGACGGGUGAGUAACACGUGGGAACGUGCCCUUAGGUUCGGAAUAACUCAGGGAAACUUGUGCUAAUACCGAAUGUGCCCUUCUGGGGAAAGAUUUAUCGCCUUUGGAGCUGCCCGCGUCUGAUUAGCUAGUUGGUUGAGGUAAUGGCUCACCAAGGCGACGAUUAGUAGCUGGUCUGAGAGGAUGAUCAGCCACAUUGGGACUGAGACACGGCCCAAACUCCUACGGGAGGCAGCAGUGGGGAGUAUUACGCAAGGGGCGAAAGCCUAACGCCGCCGUGCCGGGUGAAUGAUGAAGGUCUUAGGAUUGUAAAAUUCUUUCGGCGGGGACGAUAAUGACGGUACCCGGAGAAGAAGCCCCGGCUAACUACGUG